GACGAACGCUGGCGGCGUGCUUAACACAUGCAAGUCGAACGGAAAGGCCCUGCUUGCAGGGUACUCGAGUGGCGAACGGGUGAGUAACACGUGGGUGAUCUGCCCUGCACUUCGGGAUAAGCCUGGGAAACUGGGUCUAAUACCGGAUAGGAGCCAUUUUUAGUGUGAUGGUUGGAAAGUUUUUUUCGGUGUAGGAUGAGCUCGCGGCCUAUCAGCUUGUUGGUGGGGUAAUGGCCUACCAAGGCGGCGACGGGUAGCCGGCCUGAGAGGGUGGACGGCCACAUUGGGACUGAGAUACGGCCCAGACUCCUACGGGAGGCAGCAGUGGGGAAUAUUGCACAAUGAGCGCAAGCCUGAUGCAGCGACGCCGCGUGGGGGAUGACGGCCUUCGGGUUGUAAACUCCUUUCGCUAGGGACGAAGCUUUUUGUGACGGUACCUAGAUAAGAAGCACCGGCUAACUACGUG
This 466-nucleotide ribosomal RNA is filed under the name uncultured bacterium. Its description in RNAcentral is "partial 16S ribosomal RNA". It matches the Rfam family "Bacterial small subunit ribosomal RNA", at positions 28 to 507 of the family's 1533-position model. The record is from RNAcentral.